GAGGAAUAUUGGUCAAUGGGCGCAAGCCUGAACCAGCCAUGCCGCGUGAAGGAUGAAGGCCUUCUGGGUUGUAAACUUCUUUUACCUGGGAAGAAAACUACGGUUUCUACUGUAGCCGACGGUACCAGAGGAAUAAGCACCGGCUAACUCCGUGCCAGCAGCCGCGGUAAUACGGAGGGUGCAAGCGUUAUCCGGAUUUACUGGGUUUAAAGGGUGUGUAGGCGGGCCUUUAAGUCAGUGGUGAAAUCUCCGAGCUUAACUUGGAAACUGCCAUUGAUACUAUUGGUCUUGAAUUCUGUUGAGGUGGGCGGAAUAUGUCAUGUAGCGGUGAAAUGCUUAGAUAUGACAUAGAACACCAAUUGCGAAGGCAGCUCACUAACCAGACAUUGACGCUGAGGCACGAAAGCGUGGGGAUCAAACAGGA
Molecule: ribosomal RNA, 424 nt
Filed under: uncultured Chitinophagaceae bacterium
Lineage: Bacteria; Pseudomonadati; Bacteroidota; Chitinophagia; Chitinophagales; Chitinophagaceae
Description: bacterial SSU rRNA
Rfam family: Bacterial small subunit ribosomal RNA
Source: RNAcentral